This 565-nucleotide ribosomal RNA is filed under the name Cantharidus sendersi. RNAcentral's name for it is "partial 16S ribosomal RNA". It matches the Rfam family "Bacterial large subunit ribosomal RNA", at positions 1817 to 2597 of the family's 2925-position model. The record is from RNAcentral. Lineage: Eukaryota; Metazoa; Mollusca; Gastropoda; Trochida; Trochidae.
GUCUCUCUGGAGUAAAAAAUAUAGAGAGUCGGACCUGCCCGGUGACUAAAGUGUUAAACGGCCGCGGUACCCUAACCGUGCAAAGGUAGCAUAAUCAUUUGCCUUUUAAUUGGAGGCUGGUAUGAAUGGUUUGACGAGAGCUAAGCUGUCUCUUUAAAAAUAUUUAAAAAUUAACUUUUAGGUGAAGAGGCCUAAAUUAAUUUAAGGGACAAGAAGACCCUGUUGAGCUUUAAUAAAACUAUAAAUAAGUGUUAGUAUGAUAACAUACUUAUAUAUUUAUAUAAUUUAGAUUUGUGAUUAAUUUUUAGUUGGGGCGACUGAGGGACAUAAGAAGCUCCCUUUAACAAUAAUAAAAUAAAAGUAUUGAAAUUAACUUAUUAUAGUGCUGGCAUGUUAUUUUGAUCCAAAUUGUUUUGAUUAAAGGAAAAAGUUACCACAGGGAUAACAGCGUAAUCUUUCUGGAGAGAUCUUAUCGAAAGAAGGGUUUGCGACCUCGAUGUUGGACUAAGAUAUCCUAAAGGUGUAGACGCUUUUGAGGGUUGGUCUGUUCGACCAUUAAAAUCUU